GACGAACGCUGGCGGCGUGCUUAACACAUGCAAGUCGAACGGAAAGGCCCUGCUUUUGUGGGGUGCUCGAGUGGCGCACGGGUGUGUGUCACGCGUGUAACCUGCCCUUGUCUUCGGGGUACCUUCAGGAAACUGGGGCUAAUAUAGGACAGGAGCACCUGCUGCAUGGUGGGGGUUGGAAAGUUUCGGCGGUUGGGGAUGGACUGGCGGCUCAUCAGCUUGUUGGUGGGGUAGUGGCUUACCAAGGCGCUGACGGGUAGCCGGACUGGGAGGGUGACCGGGCCCAAUGGGCCUGAGGGAGGCGCCAGAGGCAAACGGGGGCCAUCGGUGGAAAACUUUGCACAAAAGGCGGGAGCCGGAUACAGCGACGCCGGGUGCGUAAAGACGGUCUGUGGGGAAUAAACCGCGUUCGCCUGGGACGAAGCGUGAGUGACGGUAAUGAGUAAAGAAGCACCGGCUAACUACGUG
This 468-nucleotide ribosomal RNA is filed under the name uncultured bacterium. RNAcentral's name for it is "partial 16S ribosomal RNA". It matches the Rfam family "Bacterial small subunit ribosomal RNA", at positions 28 to 507 of the family's 1533-position model. The record is from RNAcentral.